AUGCAAACAUGCUAUUUAAUUAAAAAUAUUAAUUUGACUUUAAUCAGUUUUUAUCAACCUGCUAUUUACACUUGCUUUUAGUAAGUUACUUGUACUUUGAGGUUGAAAAAUCUUACCAGCUCAGUUUACUUGAGUUAGAUUAAUUUAGAAAAAGUAAGUUUAUGAUCUGUGGGCAUGCGCAGAUCAGUCCUCUCUACGCUAGACGGCGAUAUUUGUUCACCACUAUGGCCCCGCCCUUCAAUAGCUACUAUUGGCCAGGCGCUUACGUACCUGAUUUGUACAGGUCAUAUCCCCUGACCAACCUUAACCAAUCCAGGUGAAUUGCCUAACCCCAACCAAUCAAGCUGCUUCGUAGGGCGGGUCUUGGCGUGGCGGGAUUCGUAAUUUUGCAGACAUGUCACAUCGUGCCUGCAACUGACCAAGUGGAGCUGGACCUAAACAUCGCUUCAACGGCGCUUUUGUUUAUCUUCAUCAUAACAGCGAUUCUUGUGCUUGGCACACUCAUUUGGCUCAAGCAGAUGGUGAUCAAUCCACACAUAGGUAGUCCCAGCAGUAAAAGAUACUGUGGGUUCGACUUAUAGCCCAUUAAGAUGAUGACUUCAGCAGUGUUGCACAAGCACUGAUCAGAAAAUA
Molecule: long non-coding RNA, 633 nt
Organism: Carassius auratus (goldfish)
Lineage: Eukaryota; Metazoa; Chordata; Actinopteri; Cypriniformes; Cyprinidae
Exons: 3
Source: RefSeq, a predicted model, not a curated record